GCCCGCCUAGCUCAAUCGGAUAGAGCGUCAGACUCUUACGAUGCCAGGCACCGAGGCGAUCUGAAGGCUGCGAGUUCGACCCUCGCGGUGGGCU
Molecule: non-coding RNA, 94 nt
Organism: Earliella scabrosa
Lineage: Eukaryota; Fungi; Basidiomycota; Agaricomycetes; Polyporales; Polyporaceae
Source: the annotation of a GenBank genome assembly